UACGGAGGGUGCAAGCGUUAUCCGGAUUCACUGGGUUUAAAGUGUGCGCAGGCGGCGCUGCAAGUCGAGUGUGAAAUCCCCGAGCUUAACUUGGGAAUUGCGCUCGAAACUACGGCGCUGGAGUAUGGCAGAGGAAGGUGGAAUUCCACGUGUAGCGGUGAAAUGCGUAGAGAUGUGGAGGAACACCGAUGGCGAAGGCAGCCUUCUGGGCCAAUACUGACGCUCAUGCACGAAAGCGUGGGGAGCAAACAGG
Molecule: ribosomal RNA, 253 nt
Filed under: uncultured bacterium
Lineage: Bacteria
Description: partial 16S ribosomal RNA
Rfam family: Bacterial small subunit ribosomal RNA
Source: RNAcentral